This 449-nucleotide ribosomal RNA is filed under the name uncultured bacterium. RNAcentral's name for it is "partial 16S ribosomal RNA". It matches the Rfam family "Bacterial small subunit ribosomal RNA", at positions 338 to 795 of the family's 1533-position model. The record is from RNAcentral.
CCUACGGGGGGCUGCAGUGGGGAAUUUUGGACAAUGGGCGCAAGCCUGAUCCAGCCAUUCCGCGUGAGUGAAGAAGGCCUUCGGGUUGUAAAGCCCUUUCGCAAGGGAAGAAAACUUAUCCUCUAACAUAGGAUGAGGUUGACGGUACCUUGAUAAGAAGCACCGGCUAACUACGUGCCGGCAGCCGCGGUAGUACGUAGGGUGCGAGCGUUCAUCGGAAUUACGGGGGGUGUUUUGUGAGUCAGAUGUUAAAUCCCCGAGCUCAACUUGGGAACUGCGGUUGAAACUACAAGACUAGAAUAGGUCAGAGGGGAGUAGAAUUCCACGUGUAGCAGUGAAAUGCGUAGAGAUGUGGAGGAAUAUCAAUGGCGAAGGCAGCCCCCUGGGAUCAUAUUGACGCUCAUGCACGAAAGCGUGGGGAGCAAACAGGAUUAGAUACCCCUGUAGUC